AUGCUCACUUCGGCAGCACAUAUACUAAAAUCGGAACAAUACAAAGAUUUGCAUGGCCCCUGCACAAGGAAGACAUGCAAAUUCAUGAAGUGUGUCAUAUAUUU
RNAcentral lists this small nuclear RNA (104 nucleotides) under Dasypus novemcinctus (nine-banded armadillo). Lineage: Eukaryota; Metazoa; Chordata; Mammalia; Cingulata; Dasypodidae. The record is from RNAcentral.